Molecule: ribosomal RNA, 494 nt
Filed under: uncultured bacterium
Lineage: Bacteria
Description: partial 16S ribosomal RNA
Rfam family: Bacterial small subunit ribosomal RNA
Source: RNAcentral
GACGAACGCUGGCGGCGUGCUUAACACAUGCAAGUCGAACGGUUAAGCGCCUUCCUUUUUGGUGGGUGUGGAUGAGUGGCGAACGGGUGAGUAACACGUUAGUAACCUGCCCCCUUCUUCUGGAUAACCGCAUGAAAGUGUGGCUAAUACGGGAUAUUCUGUGUCUGUCGCAUGAUGGGUCUGGGAAAGAUAUUGUUUCGGUGGGGGAUGGGCUCGCGGCCUAUCAGCUUGUUGGUGGGGUGAUGGCCUACCAAGGCGGUGACGGGUAGCCGGCCUGGGAGGAUGAGCGGUAAUAGAGGGGCGGAGCGGCGGAGAAUACUACUGGGGGAGGCAGCAGUGAAGAAUGUUGCACAGUGGGAGGAAGCAUGAAGCAGCACCGCGGCGGGAGAGAUGGAGGCCUGGGGGUAGUGAACCUCUGUCGGGAGAGAAGCAGAGCAGCCUAGUUUGUGGGUGGGUUGACGGUAGCUAGAUAAGAAGCGCCGGCUAACUACGUG